This 1262-nucleotide long non-coding RNA is filed under the name Parus major (Great Tit). RNAcentral describes it as "lncRNA (ENSPMJG00000019860.1)". The record is from RNAcentral. Lineage: Eukaryota; Metazoa; Chordata; Aves; Passeriformes; Paridae.
AUGUUGCAACUGCUUAGGUCCCACGGCCCGGAAAUAUCCGUGGGAGGAGAGCACCACUCUGCAUGGGCACGUGGCCUUGGGAACAGCCCUCAGUGCCCUGGGACAGCUCUGCCUCCAUGCUGGGAUCCAGGUGAGCCUCUGUGCUGGGAUCCAGGUGAGCCUCUGUGCUGGGAUCCAGGCCAGCCUGUGCUCAGCCACCAGCACACACACCUGGCUUUGCUGAGGAGCACCCAGAAGCCAGCAGACAGCAGUGACACCCAAAGCUGUGCCCUCAGUGUAAACCACCAAUGUAGGGGUCUGGAAGAUGUAUUUCAGCUCAUUCCAAUCCCAACAGUGCCCAGGGGCUCUUCAGCCCCAGUCCAUCACAGUGCUCAGCUCGUGUUUAAUGCCAAGCAGGCAUGCAAUCAGUUUGGGAGGAUAAGGAAGAAUGAAAAGGGGAAUAAUAAACAAAAAUGAGCCCUAGAGGAGAAAAACUGCCCAGUGCCAGCAUUGAUGCUCUCAGAGCAAACAGAAGGGGAGGCACUGCUUUGUGCUCACCCUCGGCCCGGCAGCACAGGUAUUGUCUGCUGCUAACAGCAAAAAAGCCUCACGGGGAUGCCACACGUGCAUGUGUGUGGUGAAACCCUCUGGAACAGGAAGACAAAUGAAGAAGUCAAGUUCUUGGUGUGCCAGGACAUUAUCCAAAGCCUUGGAUUUAUGGUUAACUGGUUCCCAUGGAGCAGCUACAGCUUUUACUGGUGCUGCAGCUCCCUGCCCUUGCCAGCCCAGCUGUUCCAGGCUCCUCAUCCCAGGUAGCUUCUGCUCCUUGGAUCCUUUCUUUCUCAUGUGGAUUUCAGAGGAUAAAAAUACUAAUAUGCUUCUUGGGAAAUGAUUAAAUUAGUAUCCAUUGUUCAUGCUCUAAAUGACACAGCUGACAAAGACCUGAUAUUCCUAUUUACUGCCCUCAAGAAAGGGGGCACAUAAAAGGCCUAUUAGAAAAAAAAAAUAGGUUAUAUUUCAUGUUUUAGUUGGGCUGCUGUGGUACAUCAAGUCUAGUAUUAUACAUAAAUGAAAUUGUUUUGUUUUUCCUUUGCUCUGCAAAGCAGAGCAUGAAACAGCAACUGUUGGGGCUCUGCUCCUAAUUUCUGACACAUCUUUUAACCUGCUCAUUUAGAAGCACUUACUUUGCAUCCUUCUCCUUAAGAAUUAGUGGGAUAUGAACCAUGAGGUUUCCUAGAUUAGGAAUGUCUGGAUAAUAAAAUGCUGUGGAACAGGAUUGAACA